UAUUUAACAAUGAAUCAAAUGAUAAAAAAGUUAAUAAUUACUUAAAUUUUUCUGAAUAAGACGAAUAGUCAAACAUGUUUAAAAAAGUCAACGGCGUCAAAUAUUUAGGAAUGGAGGGAGUAGUUGAUUACGUCCAAGGUUUGAGUUCAUUCGCAAGUUUUGGUUAAGUUCAAUCGUUCAUCGUUCGAUCGUUUGAUCGUGCAAGGGAAUCAACGGGACGGCGCGGCGGCCAACCUCAACCCCUUGCCCAACCGAGGCUCGGCUCAGCUCGUGGCCAGCCGCGGCGGAGCAAGCGGCGAAGCGGCUGCGAAUGCGCAGAGAGGAGGAUGGCAGUGGCAGUGGCAAGGUGUUGACGGUCAUUACAUACAAAUUUCAACCGUCAAUAUAGCUAAAAUAAUAUAGAAUUAACUAUGCUUGCAAUGCGUAUUUACUUCAGAAUAAUAUAGUUCCACUUGUGCUUAGAGAAUAACAUGUUGUAGGAAUUGAGCAAUAAAAUAAAGAGAAAAUAAAGAAAAUCUCACUCCUAAGCAAGCUUAUGGAUAAGAGGGCCCACAAGUCAGGUGUAACCGGCCUGGAAACCGCUUUAACUGUUAAAACCAUCAAUAGGACCCACCUGUUAGAGAUUGUACCGAAGCUGGAGGCCUGUUGGGCUAGCCUAGGUUCGUCCGAACUAGGAGUUCGCCGGAACCCUGGUGGAGCCCAAUCAGCCUGGCCCUCCACGUGUUCGCGCCAGAUGCACUCUCAAUGAUGGUUAAGGGGCAAGAAGGUCAUUUCACCUUGUCUACAACCGUUAUACCAACCCUAUAAAAGAAGGAGCUCACUUCACUUCUCAACACACUCAACGGCGGCGCAGGUUGGCUCUAAGGACGACGGCGGAAGCAUGCGACGGCGAUGGAUCUGAGGGCGACGCGUCGAGCCUGGCGCCAAGACGGACUCGGGCGAUGUGCGGCGCGCCAGCAGCGACGGCGGGAGUCCGACUCGUCACCACCGUUGAGCUCCGCUUCCUCCCUUCCUUGUCGCCGCCGGCCUCCUCCUCCACCAUCGCUCGACAGCUGGCGACACAGCGGCGCAUUAGCGCGGGUGGAGGCCAGCGAAGCGGCGGCGCACAGGCGGCGGCCGGUGGCGUGUCGGCGCACGGCAGGGGCGGCGGUUGGCGACACGACGGCACGAGCGGAGGCCGGCGACACGAUUGUGCACGGCGGCGGCUGGCGGCGUGGCGGUGGUUGGCGACACGGCGGCGCACGGCAAGCAAGCCCGAUGGCCGCCGAUGAGUACCCGUCGGGCAUGGACACGGGUAUGGGGUUUUGCCCGAUAGGCUUUGCGGGCGUGGGUCGGGCACUGGCACGUGGAUCUCGGGUCGGGCAUGGUUUCGCUCUGCCCGUGCCCGACCCAACCCGUUGCCAUCCCUAAGACUGCUGGAGGCAAGCCAUGCAACUUCCUUUGGUGGGCAUAUCCCUGUGAACUCGGUUCUUCAUUCGAUGUGGACUCUCUUCUCACUGUUGCAUGUGUUGGCUUGUGUUCUGGGGAUGUUUUUGAUGGGCUGGGAGCAGGGGUGCAUGGAUGGUUGUUGGAAUGUUGUUGGGAGGGGUCCCAGGCACUUGAUGGCAGCAACACCCUCACUCGAAUGUGUGUGCCGGCUUGUAAGCAUUCAUCGAACACCUACUGUGCAUGCAUGCUGUGUUGGCUGAGGGACGCAAAGUAAACUUUUGGGCUGAGAAGAAGAGAGGGAGUGGGCUGGCAUGUAGAGGGCGUAAACAUAGACUUGCUGUGAGGAAUGGGCUGGGUUGGAAGAGAGAGGAAUGGCCCAAGUGUAAUAGGAGCUUUUGUAAUUUGCAUGGAUUGGAAUAGGGGUGAUAUAUGUAUUCGAACAUGUACAUGGACGGUAGAAUUGUAAUUGAACUGUUAAAUGGGACAUUUAUCCUGGCUCUGUAUUUAAUUUGGACUUACGAUGGAUUGUACAUUUAUAAAUGGACUGUGUAAUUGUAAUGGGACUGUAUAAUUUGGACAUUUAAUUUGAUUCUGUAUAUUUGACUGUGUGCUUGUAUUGUCAAAUAUGGCCUGUAUACGUGGACAUUUGGAAUUGGAAUUUAAUAUUGAGUUU
Molecule: long non-coding RNA, 2101 nt
Organism: Oryza sativa Japonica Group (Japanese rice)
Lineage: Eukaryota; Viridiplantae; Streptophyta; Magnoliopsida; Poales; Poaceae
Source: RefSeq, a predicted model, not a curated record